RNAcentral lists this ribosomal RNA (1286 nucleotides) under Salmonella enterica. RNAcentral's name for it is "partial 23S ribosomal RNA". It matches the Rfam family "Bacterial large subunit ribosomal RNA", at positions 576 to 1773 of the family's 2925-position model. Lineage: Bacteria; Pseudomonadati; Pseudomonadota; Gammaproteobacteria; Enterobacterales; Enterobacteriaceae. The record is from RNAcentral.
GGAGCACCCUUCGGGGUGUGACUGCGUACCUUUUGUAUAAUGGGUCAGCGACUUAUAUUCUGUAGCAAGGUUAACCGUAUAGGGGAGCCGGAGGGAAACCGAGUCUUAAUUGGGCGUUAAGUUGCAGGGUAUAGACCCGAAACCCGGUGAUCUAGCCAUGGGCAGGUUGAAGGUUGGGUAACACUAACUGGAGGACCGAACCGACUAAUGUUGAAAAAUUAGCGGAUGACCUGUGGCUGGGGGUGAAAGGCCAAUCAAACCGGGAGAUAGCUGGUUCUCCCCGAAAGCUAUUUAGGUAGCGCCUCGUGAAUUCAUCUCCGGGGGUAGAGCACUGUUUCGGCUAGGGGGCCAUCCCGGCUUACCAACCCGAUGCAAACUGCGAAUACCGGAGAAUGUUAUCACGGGAGACACACGGCGGGUGCUAACGUCCGUCGUGAAGAGGGAAACAACCCAGACCGCCAGCUAAGGUCCCAAAGUCAUGGUUAAGUGGGAAACGAUGUGGGAAGGCCCAGACAGCCAGGAUGUUGGCUUAGAAGCAGCCAUCAUUUAAAGAAAGCGUAAUAGCUCACUGGUCGAGUCGGCCUGCGCGGAAGAUGUAACGGGGCUAAACCAUGCACCGAAGCUGCGGCAGCGAACGUAUCACCCAAGACAACUUUACGGAGUUGACGAUUGACGGAGCGAAGCGACGUCAAAGCGUUCAUUAAAGUCGAGUUGGCUUAGGGAUACGUUCGUUGGGUAGGGGAGCGUUCUGUAAGCCUGUGAAGGUGUGUCGUGAGGCAUGCUGGAGGUAUCAGAAGUGCGAAUGCUGACAUAAGUAACGAUAAAGCGGGUGAAAAGCCCGCUCGCCGGAAGACCAAGGGUUCCUGUCCAACGUUAAUCGGGGCAGGGUGAGUCGACCCCUAAGGCGAGGCCGAAAGGCGUAGUCGAUGGGAAACGGGUUAAUAUUCCCGUACUUGGUGUUACUGCGAAGGGGGGACGGAGAAGGCUAUGUUGGCCGGGCGACGGUUGUCCCGGUUUAAGCGUGUAGGUGUGUGUUCCAGGUAAAUCCGGUUCACUUUAACACUGAGGCGUGACGACGAGGCACUACGGUGCUGAAGCAACAAAUGCCCUGCUUCCAGGAAAAGCCUCUAAGCAUCAGGUAACAUCAAAUCGUACCCCAAACCGACACAGGUGGUCAGGUAGAGAAUACCAAGGCGCUUGAGAGAACUCGGGUGAAGGAACUAGGCAAAAUGGUGCCGUAACUUCGGGAGAAGGCACGCUGACACGUAGGUGAAGUGAUUUACUCA